Molecule: non-coding RNA, 133 nt
Organism: Pelobates cultripes (western spadefoot toad)
Lineage: Eukaryota; Metazoa; Chordata; Amphibia; Anura; Pelobatidae
Source: the annotation of a GenBank genome assembly
AUUCCCAUUUUAGUACCACUUCUUCGUUCUACAGAUCUAGUGGCUAUGCUAAUGGGAUAAAGUAUUCUCUACUGUCAUCUGAAGGAAAAUGGUUAUGUUUCUUUUCCUAUAUGAAAUGUCAGUACAUAAACUU